AGCAGAGACUCCUGCUCAGACAGCUUCUUCCUGAGACGGUCGAUGACUUUUGAACCCUUGUUGGCUCUCUGAAAUCACAGAGUUCCUGAACAGAUUUUUAUGAAACAGUGUCCCAUCCAAGCUACCUUCUCCCUCUGGAUCUCGCUGCGGAGGUGUGAGAUCUUGACCUUCAUGGCGUCGAGCUCUUCAUCUGGGACCUGGGGGAUGCUUGGCGCAGAGCAGCAGAUCAGUGAAGAGGAAGACAUGCCGCAGCUUCCUGGCUCCCUCCACCAACUCCACCAUGAAACUGUCCCUCAGAAGCUGGCGGCUCUAUGGUGGAAAAACAGACAACAGCGGUGGGUCAGAGACACAAAGCUGUUGGCGUCAAUAACUCAUUAAAGAGGCACAUUUAUGGCCUGUCACACAAAAACGGUUGCUGUCGAUUGUUCCACUUGGUUGGCUGGUUGAAUGAACACUGAAUCUGUACUUGGUGAAACUUAAACAUAUGGAUAUUCUUUUCUAAUAUAGUAGUCUGUGUUAUGUAGGCAGCAGUAACAGCUUCUUAGCAUACAGUAUCAUAUAAGGACAUUUCUGUAAGUCUUUGUAACAAAUCUGUUGCAGCAUGUCACACAGGGAGCAGCUUGCUUGCAGAGCCUUUCUAUUGUAUUCCUGCAUCCCUCUCUUCCCACCUUAGCGGUCCUCUGUUACCAGCAGGCAACUUGGGAGAGGUAAGGCCAAGAUCAUAGAGGAGGGAGCAAGGAGUCUGGAUUUUAGUUUUACUUGCUGCGCCACCAUCAAAAAUGUCGGCUUUACUAGAUCAUCAGUGACAAAGCUCAUGUGCUCAAUAUUAACCAAAUUAUAAAUCAAAAAUGUGGAGAUGUGCUUUAGAUUGCAUUGUUUAAACUAAUUACCUGGUGAAUUCUUUUGUCACAUUCUGGCAUAAUCAUCCAUCUCUAGAAAACAGAGGAACGAAUGAGGUGGCUGUGGAGAAGGAAGAGUGUGAUUCGGAGCUCUGUGGUCUUACCGCUGAUGUCAGACUAUGUAAUGAGAUGUGUAAUACUUUCACUUGCCAAAAGGGGGCAGUGAUGUCAUUUUGCAAACAAGAAAACAAGAAUGGACUUGAAACAGGGAGCAGACAAAUGUCACACCACAACUCCAUAGUAAGCGGUCCACUUACACAUGCUCAUAACCUUGUUUUUACUUGUGGUGCGGGGUAAAAUGGUAAGGCAAGGAAGGUUUAUUGUGAUAAAAAAUUUUUUUUUACUCAGCAGGCAAACGGAGCAGUUUGCAUCUAGU
Long non-coding RNA from Micropterus dolomieu (smallmouth bass), 1275 nucleotides. RefSeq lists it as uncharacterized. The record is from RefSeq and is a predicted model, not a curated record. NCBI's taxonomy places the organism in Eukaryota, Metazoa, Chordata, Actinopteri, Centrarchiformes, Centrarchidae. The transcript is spliced from 3 exons.